GUGGGGAAUCUUCCGCAAUGGGCGAAAGCCUGACGGAGCAACGCCGCGUGAGUGAAGAAGGCCUUCGGGUUGUAAAACUCUGUCAUCAGGGAAGAAGAAAGUGACGGUACCUGAGGAGGAAGCCCCGGCUAACUACGUGCCAGCAGCCGCGGUAAAACGUAGGGGGCGAGCGUUGUCCGGAAUUACUGGGCGUAAAGGGCGCGUAGGCGGUUAUCCAAGUCAGGGGUGAAAACCUUGGGCUCAACCCAGGGCCUGCCUCUGAAACUGGGUGACUUGAGGGCAGGAGAGGGGAGUGGAAUUCCCAGUGUAGCGGUGAAAUGCGUAGAUAUUGGGAGGAACACCAGUGGCGAAGGCGGCUCUCUGGCCUGUUACUGACGCUGAGGCGCGAAAGCGUGGGGAUCAAACAGGAUUAGAAACCCUAGUAGUCC
This 428-nucleotide ribosomal RNA is filed under the name uncultured bacterium. RNAcentral describes it as "bacterial SSU rRNA". It matches the Rfam family "Bacterial small subunit ribosomal RNA", at positions 354 to 796 of the family's 1533-position model. The record is from RNAcentral.